Molecule: long non-coding RNA, 1127 nt
Organism: Helicoverpa armigera (cotton bollworm)
Lineage: Eukaryota; Metazoa; Arthropoda; Insecta; Lepidoptera; Noctuidae
Exons: 10
Source: RefSeq, a predicted model, not a curated record
CAGGCACCUGAUUUUGACUUUCAGACCAGGCCGACAUAAACUGUUUGUAGAUAUGAGAAUUUAAAUUAUAGUGUGGCCUUUGGCCAUUAAUAAACAUGGAAUAAAAUAAUAGAACAGAAUGAUCACAAUGGAAUUAAAAGAUACCCCCUGCGAUAAUACAACACUGCCGCCAAUCCUCUUGGCAUAGCAACCAACAAUAAUCUUCACCGUAUUAUUUUAAAAGCAGCUGAUUGAAUGUGGCCCAGUCGUUUUCGUCGGUGUAGACUCUGGUUCGUCAAAGAUCGGGGGUCUUCGGAGUUCGCAGAUCUUCGGGACUCGGGGCGGCUGAAGCCGCGAAGUAUGCGUGACAUUGGAAGUGAUGUCUAUACCGGCGAACAGCCGAAUCCUCUGAAUGAAGGAGUUUGCGAAAGUUGGGACCAAGUGGUGACUAGGAACUUUUGGUGCUGCAUCAUGGGAUAUAAGUCAUAUUGCCACGACUUUGACUUGGUUGAGAUUGUGUUCUUUUGCGUGGUAUUCACAUUCGUUCUCAUCGUGCUGACCCAGGCAUGCCGUAUAAUGUCGGCCAGCUUAAGAUCUCGUUAGGUAUAUCUUAUGGCAAUAUAUUUACAAAUUCCCUCAAGUAGGUAAUAAGAAUCCAUACGCAUGGCGGCUCCUGAAGAGGCCCGAAAAGUCAGUGUCGGUUCAGCGCAAGUACAGCCUGCUGCAGAUGGACCGACAGCAACUUUAACCCUUGAUGCCGGAACAUUGAAACAAAAAUGGCUGAAAGUUCGUGCGUACACUACCGUGUCGGUAGACCUACCAGACAUGAUAUGCAUCGCCAUAGUUAUUACAGCGGUCAUUAUUCUGGUGAAGAAAAUGUGCAACAAGUUUUUACGUAGACGUCCGGCAGGACGUGGACGGGGGAGAAGACCCUCAUGUCCCUGUUGAUAUCGGUGAAAUAUUGGAUUCCAGAAUGUCGGGCAGAAACCUUGGUCUCGAGACCAGAUCAUCCGAAGUACCGAUGACUGCGAGUGAACAUUACCUGAUCAUUUUGGUUGCUCUAGGAAUAUUGUUUCUUUCCCGAGAUAUCGUGGUUCAUGAACUUGAUUAACCGAGUGUUACAGAAAGACAAUUGUUUUGAAUCAAUA